UACGGAGGGUGCGAGCGUUGUCCGGAAUCAUUGGGCGUAAAGGGCGCGUAGGUGGCCCAGCAAGCGUGCGGUGAAAGCUCGGGGCUCAACCCCGAGUCGGCCGUGCGAACUGCUGGGCUGGAGCACUGUAGAGGCAGGCGGAAUUCCGGGUGUAGCGGUGGAAUGCGUAGAGAUCCGGAAGAACACCGGUGGCGAAGGCGGCCUGCUGGGCAGUUGCUGACACUGAGGCGCGACAGCGUGGGUAGCAAACAGG
Molecule: ribosomal RNA, 253 nt
Filed under: uncultured bacterium
Lineage: Bacteria
Description: partial 16S ribosomal RNA
Rfam family: Bacterial small subunit ribosomal RNA
Source: RNAcentral